Molecule: non-coding RNA, 1578 nt
Organism: Camelina sativa (false flax)
Lineage: Eukaryota; Viridiplantae; Streptophyta; Magnoliopsida; Brassicales; Brassicaceae
Source: RefSeq, a predicted model, not a curated record
GUUACAUCAUAAGCAAAUAAUACGGCUCUGUACUCGGAUGAGCAGAUUAAAAUUCACAAGACGGCGAUCACUAAAAGCACCGUGCCGGUGAUAACAAUGGCCUGGAGUCGAAGAAAAAAGAGAUCUUUCCAACCUAUUCGCCCUAAUGCCUCCGUCGGAUUGUCUCACCACGCUUUAGAUCUCGCCGGAUCUGUUAAUUCCACGGCCGCUAGGGUUUGGGAUGCUUCUGAUCCUAAACCGGUUUCAACUUCUGCCGCAAGAUUAUGGUUCUAUGGCACGCCCACUACCACAAGUAUUACCAAUGGCUUCAGCCAUCAGUAGCGGUGGAAGUGGCGGUCGAUGAUGUAAACGACAAAGUGCUUAGCAUGGGGUUCCCAAGGGACCAAGUGAGAUAUCUUUCAAUGUAUGAUAAUCGGAUCCUUGGCUACUUUAAAGGGCAUAAAGACAGGGUUGUAUGUCUCCUCAUGUCUGCUUCUCUCGACCGAAGUGUCAUACUCUGGGAUCUUCGUGUUAGUGCCUGCCAGGUUAGUUUUCCAGUUUUACAUAGUCUGAGAAAGUCAUAUGGGAUACGUCUCAAUAUUGCUAGAUUUUUUUGCAGAAAACUGCCUUUGGGUUUUUUUUUUUUUUUUUGCCCUCGGAAUUUCUCCGUGAAAAUUAGAACAAGGUUUCUCGAUUUAGCCUCUCUUCCUUAAUUGUCUCUCUGUGAAUGUAUAUGGUUUCAUGAUUUAGGCUUACCCUUUUAGUCAAUAGGAAAUUCUACAUCUUCGUGGUAGGCCUGCAGUUGCGUAUGACCACCAACAAGGCCUGGUGUUUGCUAUCGCAAUGGAAUUUCUCCGUGAAAAUUAGAACAAGGUUUCUCGAUUUAGCCUCUCUUCCUUAAUUGUCUCUCUGUGAAUGUAUAUGGUUUCAUGAUUUAGGCUUACCCUUUUAGUCAAUAGGAAAUUCUACAUCUUCGUGGUAGGCCUGCAGUUGCGUAUGACCACCAACAAGGCCUGGUGUUUGCUAUCGCAAUGGAAUUUCUCCGUGAAAAUUAGAACAAGGUUUCUCGAUUUAGCCUCUCUUCCUUAAUUGUCUCUCUGUGAAUGUAUAUGGUUUCAUGAUUUAGGCUUACCCUUUUAGUCAAUAGGGAAUUCUACAUCUUCGUGGUAGGCCUGCAGUUGCGUAUGACCUCCUAAUCCCUGUUCGUUCCUUUUCAUCAACUCGCUUUACCAUUCUCUGAAUGUGAAAUAUCCGCCAAUCCUUGAUUCUCGGUCGGAGGCUUUGGCUGCGGUGUUGCAGAUCUCUAUGCACUGUCAAGAUACAUGGCAUAGCGGUGGAACCUAAAGUUGAUCCUUCAUCUAGCUCACAGUCAAAUGACCGUGAAGAAUCUGAAGUGAGACUUGCAAUAUUUUUGUUUUCUCUUCUUGUAUUAAAAGUAGGCUUUUUCUUGUUGUUUUCACACACAUUAUCUCGGAUUUGAGUUUGGUUUCAUGCCCCGGUUAUAUAUAUAGAAAUAAGGAUUUGUUGUCAUUGUUGAUUGAGAACUAGAGACCGGUUUAUGCGUGGAAUUGUUGGUUUUAAUCAUCAGUCAUUGGUGUU